AGUGAACGUUGGCGGCGUGGAUUAGGCAUGCAAGUCGAGCGAGAACCGUAGCAAUACGGGGACAGCGGCGAAAGGGACAGUAAUGUGUAGGUACCUACCUCCGGGUUCGGGAUAGCUGCGGGAAACUGCAGGUAAUACCGAAUAACGUCUCCGGACCAAAGGUGUGAUUCCACCUGGAGAGGGGCCUGCAUCCUAUUAGCUUGUUGGGGGGGUAACGGCCCACCAAGGCGACGAUGGGUAGCGGGUGUUGGAGCACGACCCGCGUCAUUGGGACGGAGACACUGCCCAGACACCUACGGGUGGCUGCAGUCGUGAAUCUUCGGCAAUGGGCGCAAGCCUGACCGAGCGACGCCGCGUGCGGGAUGAAGGCCUUCGGGUUGUAAACCGCUGUCGUAGAGGAGGAAAUGCAGGGGGGUUCUCCCCUCUGUUUGACCUAUUCUAGGAGGAAGUACGGGCUAAGUUCGUGCCAGCCGCCGCGGUAA
This 482-nucleotide ribosomal RNA is filed under the name uncultured bacterium. RNAcentral's name for it is "partial 16S ribosomal RNA". It matches the Rfam family "Bacterial small subunit ribosomal RNA", at positions 28 to 523 of the family's 1533-position model. The record is from RNAcentral.